RNAcentral lists this ribosomal RNA (254 nucleotides) under uncultured bacterium. RNAcentral describes it as "partial 16S ribosomal RNA". It matches the Rfam family "Bacterial small subunit ribosomal RNA", at positions 524 to 776 of the family's 1533-position model. The record is from RNAcentral.
GACGAACCGUGCGAACGUUAUUCGGAAUCACUGGGCUUAAAGCGCGUGUAGGCGGGCCGGCACGUCGGUACCUGAAAGCCCCCGGCUCAACCGGGGAGCUGGGGCCGAUACGACCGGCCUGGAGGGGCGUAGGGGGACCUGGAACUUCCGGUGGAGCGGUGAAAUGCGUUGAGAUCGGAAGGAACGCCCGUGGCGAAAGCGAGGUCCUGGACUGGUACUGACGCUCAGGAGCGAAAGCGUGGGGAGCGAUCCGG